CCUACGGGAGGCAGCAGUGGGGAAUAUUGGACAAUGGGGGCAACCCUGAUCCAGCCAUGCCGCGUGUGUGAAGAAGGCCCUCGGGUUGUAAAGCACUUUCAGUGAGGAAGAACGCCUGGUGGUUAAUACCCAUCAGGAAAGACAUCACUCACAGAAGAAGCACCGGCUAACUCCGUGCCAGCAGCCGCGGUAAUACGGAGGGUGCGAGCGUUAAUCGGAAUUACUGGGCGUAAAGCGCGCGUAGGUGGCUUGAUAAGCCGGUUGUGAAAGCCCCGGGCUCAACCUGGGAACGGCAUCCGGAACUGUCAAGCUAGAGUGCAGGAGAGGAAGGUAGAAGUCCCGGUGUAGCGGUUAAAUGCGUAGAGAUCGGGAGGAAUACCAGUGGCGAAGGCGGCCUUCUGGACUGACACUGACACUGAGGUGCGAAAGCGUGGGUAGCAAACAGGAUUAGAUACCCUGGUAGUC
RNAcentral lists this ribosomal RNA (465 nucleotides) under Vreelandella stevensii. Its description in RNAcentral is "partial 16S ribosomal RNA". It matches the Rfam family "Bacterial small subunit ribosomal RNA", at positions 338 to 795 of the family's 1533-position model. Lineage: Bacteria; Pseudomonadati; Pseudomonadota; Gammaproteobacteria; Oceanospirillales; Halomonadaceae. The record is from RNAcentral.